GUUUCACUCCGUCGUUUGCGUUUGUAUCGCGUCAGAGAAAUGAACGAAGAAUUGAGGGAAGCGGUGAAGAGAGGUGAUAUUGAGUCAGUAACGCGUCUUUUGGAUACUGAAGUUGAUAUCAAUGGAUGUGAUGAGGAUGAGAGAAGGAGAUUGUUGAGUUUCUGCUCACUAAAUCAGUAGAUGUUAAUGGGAGUAACAGGUGGGGAUAUACAGCUUUGAUUGUAUCUGCAAUUAUUGGAUCACAAGAUAUUGUUGAUCUAUUACUGACUGUCAAA
Molecule: long non-coding RNA, 275 nt
Organism: Corticium candelabrum
Lineage: Eukaryota; Metazoa; Porifera; Homoscleromorpha; Homosclerophorida; Plakinidae
Exons: 4
Source: RefSeq, a predicted model, not a curated record